UACAGAGGGUGCAAGCGUUGUUCGGAAUUAUUGGGCGUAAAGGGCGCGUAGGCGGUGCUGUAAGUCUGUAGUGAAAUCUCUGGGCUCAACUCAGAGUCUGCUAUAGAAACUGCAGUGCUGGAGUGUGGGAGAGGUGAGUGGAAUUCCCGGUGUAGCGGUGAAAUGCGUAGGUAUCGGGAGGAACACCUGUGGCGAAAGCGGCUCACUGGACCACAACUGACGCUGAUGCGCGAAAGCUAGGGGAGCAAACAGG
This 253-nucleotide ribosomal RNA is filed under the name uncultured bacterium. RNAcentral's name for it is "partial 16S ribosomal RNA". It matches the Rfam family "Bacterial small subunit ribosomal RNA", at positions 524 to 776 of the family's 1533-position model. The record is from RNAcentral.